GGAUAUAGCUCAAUUGGUAAGUGCUUGCCCUGCAAGCACAAGGCCCUGGGUUCAAUCCCCAGCACCA
Molecule: transfer RNA, 67 nt
Filed under: Marmota monax (woodchuck)
Lineage: Eukaryota; Metazoa; Chordata; Mammalia; Rodentia; Sciuridae
Description: tRNA.Ala
Source: RNAcentral